UAGUAGUCUUCAUUAAGAGUUUGUGCGCUUUUUUUCCUUUCAUUUAGCAUAUGGGGAUCUUACAAAUUUAAAUUUUGUUCCUCUCUUUGAACGGUUAAUUACUAUUUGUUUGGUAUGAGCAAGAAUGUGAUUUUAUUGUCUUGAAGAUCGACUGCCUUGGUAAUGAGGAAACAAACAUCUUAAGCAACUUAUUAUAUUUACGAUAUAAUUGUUUUCUGUA
Molecule: long non-coding RNA, 220 nt
Organism: Cucurbita maxima (winter squash)
Lineage: Eukaryota; Viridiplantae; Streptophyta; Magnoliopsida; Cucurbitales; Cucurbitaceae
Exons: 3
Source: RefSeq, a predicted model, not a curated record